RNAcentral lists this long non-coding RNA (943 nucleotides) under Zostera marina. RNAcentral's name for it is "long non-coding RNA (ZMAR_LNC004900)". Lineage: Eukaryota; Viridiplantae; Streptophyta; Magnoliopsida; Alismatales; Zosteraceae. The record is from RNAcentral.
UUGAACAAAUAUAUGAAUAAAGAUUUAAAACAAUUAAUAUAACCUCAGAUAGUUGACCAGAUAACUGGAUGAGGGAUCUGCGUAAAGUAGUCAACCUCUGUAUUUGACCAGAUAACUGGAAGAGAGAUCCUUUUCAAUUAAGUGUUGUUUAGUUGUUUUUAGAUGAAAGAUAAAAACUAAAGUUAACAAAGAACAACACAAGAGAUUAAUACUGGUUCACCCAAACAAGGGCUAAUCCAGUCCCGACCAACUGUCGGAAUUCACUCGCCUAAAGGUUAUGGCAAAACCUUAGAGUAUCAAGGAAACUCUUAAGAACCUCUCUAAGCUUUAAGGCUACUUCGCUUAGGAACCAGUCUUUUACGGGUAGACUCACACCUUAGAGUAUCAAGGGCACUCUUAAGAACCUCUGCUUUUGCGGGUAAGUUUGUACCUUAGAGUAUCAAGGAACUCUUAAAAACCUCUCUAAACUUUAAGGCUACUUCGCUUAGGAACCAGUCUUUCACGUGUAGACUCACACCUUAGAGUAUCGAGGGCACUCUUAAGAACCUCUAACUUUUACGGGUAAGUUAGUACCUUAGAGUAUCAAGGAACUCUUAAAAACCUAGAAAUCUUUCAAGGUAGAUUCGACCUGAGAGUUUUCCCGGAAACUCUAUAAAACCAAACUAGAGCUUUGUGGUUGAGCUCGAAAACCUUCUCUCACACUUUGGUACUAUUGAGACAACCCUCUCAACCAAAGUGGACACACACAAGAGGUGAUUAGAGGAGUGGAAUAUUAAAGCAAACAACACUUCUUACUUGUAAAGAUGAACAAGAAGAUUAGAAGAAGAAGUUGGAGAGCUUUUGAAGCUUUGGAAAGCUAGGACACUUGAGCACUUGAAAGCUUGGAAGCUUGGAGGCAAAAACGUGUGGGCAAGUGUGGAGUGAAAGCUCUUGAGUUUGCUUG